AAACUAAUCUUAGAAGAUUUGAUUUGAAAUAUUAAGGGAUUAUGUAAAUCCCUUAAAAAUCUAAAAUUGUAUAUUGGCUUCGAUCUCAACCAUUGAUGUAAAUAAAUUAUACCAUUGGAUCUAGGGGAGCUGAAAUACAAAUAAAGGUCUUCCCCCUCAUUUUUAAUCAUCUCAUUACACCUUUUUCAUAGUAAUAUAAUACUAUUGAGA
This 210-nucleotide long non-coding RNA is filed under the name Gossypium raimondii (Peruvian cotton). Its description in RNAcentral is "long non-coding RNA (GRAI_LNC000841)". Lineage: Eukaryota; Viridiplantae; Streptophyta; Magnoliopsida; Malvales; Malvaceae. The record is from RNAcentral.